Molecule: ribosomal RNA, 401 nt
Filed under: uncultured bacterium
Lineage: Bacteria
Description: bacterial SSU rRNA
Rfam family: Bacterial small subunit ribosomal RNA
Source: RNAcentral
UGGGAAUCUUGCACAAUGGGGGAAACCCUGAUGCAGCGACGCCGCGUGAACGAUGAAGCCCUUCGGGGUGUAAAGUUCUUUCGACAGGAACGAUAAUGACGGUACCUGGAGAAGAAGCUGCGGCUAACUACGUGCCAGCAGCCGCGGUAAUACGUAGGCAGCGAGCGUUGUUCGGAGUUACUGGGCGUAAAGAGUGCGUAGGCGGCGAGCCAAGUUUGGUGUGAAAUCUCCCGGCUUAACCGGGAGGGUGCGCCGAAAACUGGUUGGCUGGAGUAUGGGAGAGGAAAGCGGAAUUCCUGGUGUAGCGGUGAAAUGCGUAGAUAUCAGGAGGAACACCCGCGGUGUAGACAGCUUUCUGGACCAAAACUGACGCUGAGGCACGAAAGCGUGGGUAGCAAACA